Brachypodium distachyon (stiff brome) is the source of this 2067-nucleotide RNA transcript. RefSeq lists it as uncharacterized. The transcript has 3 exons. The record is from RefSeq and is a predicted model, not a curated record. Lineage: Eukaryota; Viridiplantae; Streptophyta; Magnoliopsida; Poales; Poaceae.
GGGAGCCACCGGCCAGAUUGCUGCACGAAAUCGUGCGAUGGCGCGAUGCAAAAUUCGUGCAGCCUGGAGGAGGUGUGAUCCGCGUUAAUCGGGAACACGAAUUGUUGGCCGCUUGAAAAACCGAAAAGCCUGGAAAGUUUACACGGCGCAAACUUCGUCUCCUUUUGUUCGUCUACCUCACGAGCGAGAGAGAAACCAGAGCGAAGAAAGAUCGAGAGUGCGAGGGAGAGAGUUAGGCUGUCAUCCACCUUCAGCUAAUCGCCCCCAAUCCGGCCGGCCUUGAGCUUCCCUUCCAAAUCCGGCCGGCGGCAAUCCGAUUUCGAUUCCAACUUUGAUUCCUGAAUACCUCCUCAGAACCCCACAACCAAACAAGAUCGGGUCGAAUCGAAUCGAGUCGACGCGGAAGAGGAACUCAGAUGGCGGAUCUGGUGUCUCCGCCGGCUUACGACUCCGACGGCGAUACUGCCCAAAGGCCAACCUCUUCGGUGCUGGAAAAGUACGCCUACUUCGACAACCGCCAAAACGCCACAACGGCCGUCUGCGACCUCGACAAGGGAAGCAUCCAGGUGACCUUCUGCGUCGCACACCCGCCGCGCGCAUCCUACUUCUGCGUCUACACCACCCACUUCGCCCCCGCCCAAUUCGGCGCCGCGCCCCAGAUCCUGGCUACGGAAGGCCCCCUCGCCCUCAUCCGCGUCAUCAUCGGCCGUCGGAAAUCCUACUUCUCGCCCGGCGUCGGAGACUUGUUCGUCUACCACGCCGGCGGUGACCUGCCACCGUCGCUCAAGCGCCUCCCGAGCCCUGCGCCCCACUUCUUCGACGAUUCCUACGCUGCCAUCGUGCGCCACUGCCCUCGUCGCCGGUGCCCCCAACGACGAGGCAUCAAGGAGGACCACGACUGCAGCGACUGCAACUACGUCGUGGCCGCACGUCAAGGACCACACGCCAUACCAUUCCGGCUCCCAGUGCAAGGCCAUCACCAUCGGAGGAGAGGAAGGCACGGUGGCCUGGGCCAUUCUGGGCAAGUACACCAGGCGCAUCAUGUUCUGCGACGUCCUCGCCAUCACGGACACCAGCCCCCACCCCCCCGUGCUCCGCUUCCUCCACAUGCCGGGGAUGGAGUCGCCCGGGGAGUACACGGUCUGCCUUCAGGACAUUGACCUCCUCGACGACGGCUCCAUCGCCUACAUCGAGCUGCAGCUUACAGAAGAAUACACUUGGGAGGCCAACACAUGGAGGAUCAAGAUCGACCGUUCUUCGCCGCUGUCGUCCACCCAGUGGCAGUGGGAGUGCACCUUCCGAUCCUCGGACAUCUCCCAAUCCCUGCACGAUAGGCUGGAUGUCGGCGAUGCGGAGGCUGUCUUCUACGUAGGCCCGCCGAUCCUCAGCCUCCAAGACGACGGCAUUGUCUACAUCCUUACCAAGACCGACCCGGAGGACCCGUGCAAGUCAUGGUUGCUUGCCAUUGACAUGAAGAAGAACAAGGUGCAGCAAGUGCAAGAGCUUGUCGGCGACAGAGGAUUUUUUGUGUUCCAGCCCUACUUUACAACAACUAGUAUCUCCAAAUACAUCCAAGUUAUUAAUCCAGGAAAGCAAAAGGCAAAGCGACAAAAGAUGGUACCGUCGCAGUGCAAGAAGCUGGGCGGAGUCUCCAUGGAGCCUCAUUGGCAGGAUGAUAUGGAGUUAGACGAUGAGGUUGACGACACGCAGUCCCUGCCAGAGCCAGUACCCCUAACCAAACAUGAGUCAGAAAUGGAUUACUUAAGCAAGCCGGCUCUUCAGAGCACUGAUAGAACGGGAACGGGAAGAGGCAUGUAAGCAAUGCCAAAUACCCCAGAGCCAAGGCAGCGUAGCUCCAGCUUGGGAGGGAGAAAUGUAGGAGUUGAGCAAGAAAAAACCUAUAUGAUUGGUCUUUUGCACCUGGCUGCUUGGCACUUAGAUUAUCUAUGUGGUCUCGUCACUUGCGACUUAUUUAAUACCUGUUUUGAACUCUGCUACCAUGUCAGUUGUUCGGGCUUUGUCAUUGCUGGAACCUUGCAGAAUUAUGUUUUAGUAGCAUUCUUGGUU